UCUGGAAAGGCGCGCGAUACAGGGUGACAGCCCCGUACACAAAAAUGCACAUAUUGUGAGCUCGAUGAGUAGGGCGGGACACGUGGUAUCCUGUCUGAAUAUGGGGGGACCAUCCUCCAAGGCUAAAUACUCCUGACUGACCGAUAGUGAACCAGUACCGUGAGGGAAAGGCGAAAAGAACCCCGGCGAGGGGAGUGAAAAAGAACCUGAAACCGUGUACGUACAAGCAGUGGGAGCCUCUUUAUGGGGUGACUGCGUACCUUUUGUAUAAUGGGUCAGCGACUUAUAUUCUGUAGCAAGGUUAACCGAAUAGGGGAGCCGAAGGGAAACCGAGUCUUAACUGGGCGUUAAGUUGCAGGGUAUAGACCCGAAACCCGGUGAUCUAGCCAUGGGCAGGUUGAAGGUUGGGUAACACUAACUGGAGGACCGAACCGACUAAUGUUGAAAAAUUAGCGGAUGACUUGUGGCUGGGGGUGAAAGGCCAAUCAAACCGGGAGAUAGCUGGUUCUCCCCGAAAGCUAUUUAGGUAGCGCCUCGUGAAUUCAUCUCCGGGGGUAGAGCACUGUUUCGGCAAGGGGGUCAUCCCGACUUACCAACCCGAUGCAAACUGCGAAUACCGGAGAAUGUUAUCACGGGAGACACACGGCGGGUGCUAACGUCCGUCGUGAAGAGGGAAACAACCCAGACCGCCAGCUAAGGUCCCAAAGUCAUGGUUAAGUGGGAAACGAUGUGGGAAGGCCCAGACAGCCAGGAUGUUGGCUUAGAAGCAGCCAUCAUUUAAAGAAAGCGUAAUAGCUCACUGGUCGAGUCGGCCUGCGCGGAAGAUGUAACGGGGCUAAACCAUGCACCGAAGCUGCGGCAGCGACACUAUGUGUUGUUGGGUAGGGGAGCGUUCUGUAAGCCUGUGAAGGUGGCCUGUGAGGGUUGCUGGAGGUAUCAGAAGUGCGAAUGCUGACAUAAGUAACGAUAAAGCGGGUGAAAAGCCCGCUCGCCGGAAGACCAAGGGUUCCUGUCCAACGUUAAUCGGGGCAGGGUGAGUCGACCCCUAAGGCGAGGCCGAAAGGCGUAGUCGAUGGGAAACAGGUUAAUAUUCCUGUACUUGGUGUUACUGCGAAGGGGGGACGGAGAAGGCUAUGUUGGCCGGGCGACGGUUGUCCCGGUUUAAGCGUGUAGGCUGGUUUUCCAGGCAAAUCCGGAAAACCAAGGCUGAGGCGUGAUGACGAGGCACUACGGUGCUGAAGCGACAAAUGCCCUGCUUCCAGGAAAAGCCUCUAAGCAUCAGGUAACAUCAAAUCGUACCCCAAACCGACACAGGUGGUCAGGUAGAGAAUACCAAGGCGCUUGAGAGAACUCGGGUGAAGGAACUAGGCAAAAUGGUGCCGUAACUUCGGGAGAAGGCACGCUGAUAUGUAGGUGAAGCGACUUGCUCGUGGAGCUGAAAUCAGUCGAAGAUACCAGCUGGCUGCAACUGUUUAUUAAAAACACAGCACUGUGCAAACACGAAAGUGGACGUAUACGGUGUGACGCCUGCCCGGUGCCGGAAGGUUAAUUGAUGGGGUUAGCGGUAACGCGAAGCUCUUGAUCGAAGCCCCGGUAAACGGCGGCCGUAACUAUAACGGUCCUAAGGUAGCGAAAUUCCUUGUCGGGUAAGUUCCGACCUGCACGAAUGGCGUAAUGAUGGCCAGGCUGUCUCCACCCGAGACUCAGUGAAAUUGAACUCGCUGUGAAGAUGCAGUGUACCCGCGGCAAGACGGAAAGACCCCGUGAACCUUUACUAUAGCUUGACACUGAACAUUGAGCCUUGAUGUGUAGGAUAGGUGGGAGGCUUUGAAGUGUGGACGCCAGUCUGCAUGGAGCCGACCUUGAAAUACCACCCUUUAAUGUUUGAUGUUCUAACGUUGGCCCGUAAUCCGGGUUGCGGACAGUGUCUGGUGGGUAGUUUGACUGGGGCGGUCUCCUCCUAAAGAGUAACGGAGGAGCACGAAGGUUGGCUAAUCCUGGUCGGACAUCAGGAGGUUAGUGCAAUGGCAUAAGCCAGCUUGACUGCGAGCGUGACGGCGCGAGCAGGUGCGAAAGCAGGUCAUAGUGAUCCGGUGGUUCUGAAUGGAAGGGCCAUCGCUCAACGGAUAAAAGGUACUCCGGGGAUAACAGGCUGAUACCGCCCAAGAGUUCAUAUCGACGGCGGUGUUUGGCACCUCGAUGUCGGCUCAUCACAUCCUGGGGCUGAAGUAGGUCCCAAGGGUAUGGCUGUUCGCCAUUUAAAGUGGUACGCGAGCUGGGUUUAGAACGUCGUGAGACAGUUCGGUCCCUAUCUGCCGUGGGCGCUGGAGAACUGAGGGGGGCUGCUCCUAGUACGAGAGGACCGGAGUGGACGCAUCACUGGUGUUCGGGUUGUCAUGCCAAUGGCACUGCCCGGUAGCUAAAUGCGGAAGAGAUAAGUGCUGAAAGCAUCUAAGCACGAAACUUGCCCCGAGAUGAGUUCUCCCUGACUCCUUGAGAGUCCUGAAGGAACGUUGAAGACGACGACGUUGAUAGGCCGGGUGUGUAAGCGCAGCGAUGCGUUGAGCUAACCGGUACUAAUGAACCGUGAGG
This 2592-nucleotide ribosomal RNA is filed under the name Escherichia coli. Its description in RNAcentral is "partial 23S ribosomal RNA". It matches the Rfam family "Bacterial large subunit ribosomal RNA", at positions 341 to 2915 of the family's 2925-position model. Lineage: Bacteria; Pseudomonadati; Pseudomonadota; Gammaproteobacteria; Enterobacterales; Enterobacteriaceae. The record is from RNAcentral.